Numida meleagris (helmeted guineafowl) is the source of this 579-nucleotide long non-coding RNA. NCBI's taxonomy places the organism in Eukaryota, Metazoa, Chordata, Aves, Galliformes, Numididae. The record is from Ensembl.
UUAGAGUAUCUUACACUACACAUCUUUAAAAUAGUGAUCAAAAGAUUAGAAAAAUGUAAGUGAACAGAAGAACUGAUUUCUUUGCUUCUCUCACUUUGAGGUGGUCCCAACCUACUUAAUGGUGGUGAUAAGAGUUCCCCAGGGUUAGACUACUCUUGGACAGCAAGGAAAGGCAGAGAGAGAGCCUUGAAGGAGCUGGAAUGCCAGUCGACAGCUCCUUACAGUAUCAAGUUUGUGAUGAUGUGGCGUUCUGAAGCUUUUAGUGCUUUUUACACCUUUAUUUGAAAGAGAAAAGCAGCAAGACAAAUUUCGUGACAGUACCAAUUAAAGCUUCUCCCUGAAGAGUUUUGCUGGGAAUGUUGUUGAUCAACAGGCUGAUGUAGUAUACAAAAGGCACAUGUCAGUUGUCUGCAGCCACCCGCACUGAUGCAAAAUGACAGUGAGGAGGCUCUUCUGUCACUGCGUUAGUCACAAAGAGUGUUGUGAAUUCCUCUUAAAGUCCUGACUGGAGAACACACUUGUAUACUGGAUUCCAAGUUUGUCUUCAUUUUUAAAAGAGUUGUGAAUUUCUACCUGAGG